Molecule: non-coding RNA, 107 nt
Organism: Gossypium hirsutum (cotton)
Lineage: Eukaryota; Viridiplantae; Streptophyta; Magnoliopsida; Malvales; Malvaceae
Source: Rfam
AAAUCAUGCAUCGAGCAUUUUCAAAUUAGUUCAUUGAAACGCUCCCCUGCUUCAUAUAAUGUUUCAUCUUUCGAUUGCCUAAAUGAUGUAAUGUCGUUCUUAAGCUU